CGGUAUUUUACCCUUUUGUAAUCUGCAUUUGAGUAGGGGUUGGAUUAUCUUUGUAUUAUAUUUAGUGGAAUUCUUAUUGGAUUUACACUGUAUCUCUCAGUGGACUUACACCGUAAUUUUUUGUGGGUUUUACAGUGUAGUUCCAGGAUUUUAAAGUGUAAUUCUUAUUGGAUUUACACUGUAACUCUCAGUGGACUUGCACUGUUUUGUUGAGUAAACAAGUAUGCUCCACUCUGUUUUGUUGUCAAUAACCAAUUUCGAAAAGCAUGAUUGAAUCUGUUUUCUUUUCACAGGAUUUGUUAAUGCUAUAAGAGAGACAUGCAUUGAGGAACUUAGCUUCAUCAUGUUUGAGGUACAAGUUUCUGGCCCUUCAUGCUUGUUUCCAUCCCAUUUGAUUCCAUUGCAGGCACCUGUAAAUCUUGUUUGCCCCUUUUUUUCAGUUGAUAGGCUUAAUUGAUAUGAAUUGAUCAUUUUAUUACUUCCUAUGUGUACUCAUUUGUAUUUACAAAUAGUAGUUUGUAGCAAUUUGAUCUUCAAGUAGGAAAGAAAGGUCUUUCUAUGUAGUUCCAAAGUUUAUAAAAUUCAGUCCUAGUUUCUUUACUUUCUUGUAAAUGAGUUAUUUUGUAAUCAUGAUCUAAGUUUCUGAUUAGUGUAUAGUUUGUGUGUGCCAAAGUUUCUGAAUUACAGUCCUAGCUUUAUGAAAAUAUAGCAUUUCUAACCUGUUUGUUCAAGGAUUUUCCUAACUUUUUGUAUUUUAUCUCCCAGAACAUGUGAUCCCUAUCUUCUUUAUACUCAUUUCCAUGUGUUGUAACUGUUGUUUUCAAUUCAGAAACUUCCUAGUAGUUCUAAAAUUCAUGAAUUUAACAUGGAUUUUUUGUUUCCUAACCUUUCUGCUCGUGCACCCCUAGACUCAUAGGAUCCUAGGGUUCUUCCUGGAUCUAGUUUAAUUAUUGGUUCUAGUGUAAACUUCCAGAAUCCAUCCUUUUUUGAGUUUAUUUGUCUCUGCAGCAUGUAUAUAUAAUGGUUCACAGUCGCCCUUUAUUUGAUUUCUGAUGUAGACAGGCAGGGGGGAGAGAUCUGCCUAAAUCAUACUUAGUAUGUGGUGAUUGCAAAAUUGGGGUUGUUUACCUGUGCUUAGUCAUCUUCAGCAGAGUGGAUCGUCUUCGGGUUUCUGUCCCAGAUCAUGGAGGAAUCGCCCUCUUGGUUGGCACUUAUUCCCGUUUCCUCUAGCUAUUCUCCCCCCUCCAUGUUCUUCCCCUCUACAGUGCAUUUUUGUAGUGGAUAUUACACUGAAAAUAAUAGUGGAGUUAUUAUUGUAAUUUUAUAGCUUUUCAAUGUAAUUUUUAGUGCUCCAGAGCUUAAUUUGUCAUGGCAUUUUAGGUGUGUGUGCUUAGAUGACAUCAUCCUGAUCCUUUCCUUUUCUUUUCGUAUUGCUUUAGCUUAGUGCACAUGUACAUGGUAAAGCUUGCCUGUAACUUUGGGUUUUUUUGCCCUCCUUUUUGUUGCUUCUCUGUCCGAGCGGGAAAAGUUGGGUUGUGGACCCGUUAUGAUCAUGAUGCUGGUGGUGUUUAAGAGUUGGUGUGUGGACCCGUUUAAGCUCGUGAUGCUGGUGUGCUUAAAAUCAUGCUGGUGUGCUUAAAAUCGGGGGCAAGUAGGAACUAACAGAGGACAUGAGACACGGGACAGGGAGACACUUGUCAUUCUGUAAUAGGUGGGAAAAUCUGACUGAAAACGAAUUUGUUUUCAUCCGGAUGUAAAACAGACAGUCCCACUAUAUGAAUGCAUUAUGCAUAAAAACGAACGGCGAACAGUCUAUAUACAU
This 1822-nucleotide long non-coding RNA is filed under the name Triticum aestivum (bread wheat). RNAcentral describes it as "long non-coding RNA (TAES_LNC006684)". Lineage: Eukaryota; Viridiplantae; Streptophyta; Magnoliopsida; Poales; Poaceae. The record is from RNAcentral.